CGUGUUCCUUACACAAUGCCUGGCACUUACCAGUUCAUUAAAGGGAGUGCUGGCGGUAGGGAGGUGGUCGGAACUUCAGGAGGAAGAGUACAUAGAUGUACAUGCAUAACACUGUAUUUUUUGUCUUGGAACUGAAAGAACAAGAAAAGGGGCAUGUCCUGGAGUCUCUGGCUCUGGGUGGGAGUAGCUGGGCUCUUGGCCCUAGCUUCUACAUCCACCGGCCUGAUGUGCUACCACUGCAGCAACUGCCGCCACGAGAGGGGCACAGCCCUGAUGUGCAACUAUGGAUAUGACGUCUGCACGAAAGUGGUCAUCGUAGGUCGAGUUGAGAAAUCAUGUGGAAAACAGCAGAUUUGUGGGUUUGGUCCUCACAGCCGUGGAACUAUCAGUUCAUGGAGCCACCUACAAAAACUCCUUAGUGAUGUAAAUACAGAUAUGUUAAGGCUGCCAGGAGGACUGUAUGACAGCAGCAUUAUGUGCUGUGCUUCAGAUUACUGCAACUCGGCCAAGGGGAAAAUGCCAACCUAUUCCUUGAUAAUUCUUCCAUUAGCAGUUUAUCUAAUGCACAAAUGAAUGGUUAAUUUCAUAUUUUCUGACUGCGAUGCAAAAAAAUUAUGACAUCACAACACGCAUUAAGAUUUGACGCAGAGUAUACUACAGAAUCAAAACUAACUUCACUACUGUUUAGCAAACUGAUGACCGCUAUCGUAGGUGAAACUUACAGAAAAUCCUGUCAACACAUUCUUCAUGAGGAACAGUGAUGUUGAGCAGAGGUAAUGUAUUUAAUGCAAACUUCACCCAAUUCAAAGCCGUAACAAUAAAGUACUGUUCGUACCAGUAUGUGGAAACCAAGGGAAAUCACAAAAACAAAGCUGGAUCAAAAUUAUUCAGCAAUUAAUCUCCGUCAAGCCAAAAAAUGAUACUGUCAGCUAGUUAGUAGGCUAAUAAAAUAUAACAAUUACAUCUGCUGUAAAAUCAGUCGUAUACUUUAUACGUAGCAACUAAAAAUUACAAAACUAAA
Long non-coding RNA from Macrobrachium nipponense, 1021 nucleotides. RefSeq lists it as uncharacterized. The transcript has 4 exons. The record is from RefSeq and is a predicted model, not a curated record. NCBI's taxonomy places the organism in Eukaryota, Metazoa, Arthropoda, Malacostraca, Decapoda, Palaemonidae.